Molecule: RNA transcript, 1045 nt
Organism: Myotis myotis
Lineage: Eukaryota; Metazoa; Chordata; Mammalia; Chiroptera; Vespertilionidae
Gene: SRP14
Gene name: signal recognition particle 14
Exons: 6
Source: RefSeq, a predicted model, not a curated record
GUGGGAUAGAGUUGCCAUCGAAAAGCGGAAGUCCCCACCCAGCCUGGCAGGAACUUCCGGCCCCGAUUGCUUGGGUCUUCUGCGGCCUGAGUGGGGCGGCGGAGCCGGGAUGGUGCUGCUGGAGAGUGAGCAGUUCCUGACGGAGCUGACCAGGCUCUUCCAGAAGUGCCGGCUGUCGGGCAGCGUGUUCAUCACCCUCAAGAAGUACGAUGGCCGAACUAAACCCAUUCCGAGGAAGGGCUCAGUGGAGGGCUUCGAGCCCUCAGACAACAAGUGUCUGUUAAGAGCCACUGAUGGGAAAAAGAAGAUUAGCACAGUGGUGAGCUCCAAAGAAGUGAAUAAGUUUCAGAUGGUGAGUUUCUGCUGUUAUCUAUGUCCCUUUCUCAGGGCAAGUCAGCAUAACAUUGAACACUGGGUGAGCAUUGAUAUUUAGGUUCACCGAUUAAGAGCUGCCAGGCUAUGAAUUUUACUUUCAACACUGAUACUGUCUUCCUUUUAAGUUUUUAUAAGCUAGAUUUUGUCAUCUUAGGCUUCAGAUAUGCUCUGCCAAUAGUGAAGUUGAACAAGAAGUUGCCUAUAUUUAUGUUUUUGCUUAAAAAAAAAAAGAAGUGCAACUCACAGUGGAUGAGCAUUGCAGAAGCUGCUAAAAUGCUUAUUCAAACCUACUGAGAGCAAACAUGGACGGGCUGAAGAAGAGGGACAAAAAGAGCAAGAGUAAGAAGAGCAAAGCAGCACAGUGAAGGGCUCCAGAUUCCCUGCUUUCACCAACUAACCACCAAAUUGCUAUUUUUCCUUCGGUUUUUACUUUUGGCCACAAAACUAGGUUUCUGGUUCCCCUACAUUAACUGUUUUCAUGUGAGAUUAUGUUCGUUUUGGACGGAAGAAGAGCUGUGAUGUUUACAGGGUAGUUAUAGGAAGCCAGUUUAUUUUAGAUCUGGCUAAUUGGUCUGUGUUGCCUACUUGUGUAUUCCUGGAUUUUAGUUAUAGAAUCUGUAGGCAUCUGUGUGAAGAACAAUGCAUCAUUAAACCUGUCUAUUUAUCAGCA